AGAGUUUGAUCAUGGCUCAGGACGAACGCUGGCGGCGUGCUUAACACAUGCAAGUCUACGAGAACGAGGUAGCAAUAUCUUUGGUAAAGUGGCGUACGGGUGCGUAACACGUAAGCAAUCUACCUUUGGGUCUGGAAUAACUUCGAGAAAUCGAGGCUAAUACCGGAUAAUGCAGCGGCACCGCAUGGUGAUGUUGUUAAAGUUUAUGUAAUGCCUAUAGAUGAGCUUGCGUCUGAUUAGCUAGUUGGUGAGGUAACGGCCCACCAAGGCUACGAUCAGUAGCUGGUCUGAGAGGAUGAUCAGCCACACUGGAACUGAGACACGGUCCAGACUCCUACGGGAGGCAGCAGUGAGGAAUAUUGGGCAAUGCCCGCAAGGGUGACCCAGCAACGCCGCGUGGAGGAUGAAGGUCGUAAGAUCGUAAACUCCUGUUAGAGGGGAAGAACACCACCGAUUGGAUCGGUGUUUGACUGUACCCUCAGAGAAAGCCCCGGCUAACUACGUGCCAGCAGCCGCGGUAAUACGUAGGGGGCAAGCGUUGUCCGGAUUUACUGGGUGUAAAGGGCGCGCAGGCGGGAUAGCAAGUCAGAGGUGAAAUCCUACAGCUUAACUGUAGAACUGCCUUUGAUACUGUUAUUCUUGAGUUCGGGAGAGAGAGACGGAAUUCCAGGUGUAGUGGUGAAAUACGUAGAUAUCUGGAAGAACACCAGUUGCGAAGGCGGUCUCUUGGUCCGAUACUGACGCUGAGGCGCGAAAGCGUGGGGAGCGAACAGGAUUAGAUACCCUGGUAGU
RNAcentral lists this ribosomal RNA (792 nucleotides) under uncultured bacterium. RNAcentral describes it as "bacterial SSU rRNA". It matches the Rfam family "Bacterial small subunit ribosomal RNA", at positions 8 to 794 of the family's 1533-position model. The record is from RNAcentral.